CUAUUGGUUACCUGAUUAUUACUGCCAUUUGUGGCAGAUGGCAGUGCACAAACACACUGGACUCAUUUCUACAUCAAAACUGUGGCUUCACUUGUAACAUUAGCAGCUUUGGGAUCUCUUAAAAUGAAGGGUGUUCCACUAACAGCAGCAGCAGAGAUAGGCUCUGUUUCUUGGAGGACACAACUACAAGAUCAAAUUCAAGAGGACAACUAAUCAUAGAAAUGCUGAUGGAAUGCCCUGUUUACCCUUGGAAAAAUAAAUUUACAAAAGAGUUAAAAAAAUUUAUAAUCAAAGUACAUAUAAGGUUACAUGUAAAAGUACAUGAAUGGUAUACAUCAUAUGUGAGUGCCUCACUAAAAAGAAAACUAAGUUGACAAGUUAUCCUGGCUCCAAUGUGUUUCUUUCAAUUAGCUUCUGGAGUUCAACUGAGAGGUGAUCUAAUUGAAACACAAGAAGAAACCAGAGAAACAGAGAAAAACAAAAUCAGUAAAAGGAGAGGGAGAGGGGGACGUGACAUAACCAUGGCUGGUACGGGCAGCAUUUUACCCAAUGCAUUUCUAAAACAUCAAACUAUUUUGAUCCAGUGGGGUAUUGAACUGAAAUACAGCAAAUACAUUUAAAUAAAAAACUAUGUAAAAUAUACCAUAAAACAGCAUUAUUGUCAAUUAGAAAUGAUGUAUUAAUUUCAAUUAAUAUUCCAGCUAAAGAUUAAGACUGUUUUUUGUAAUGACUAAACAUACUCAAUGAUUUCAUAUUCCACCCAAAAUAGGUAUGAACUGGUGUUGUGUGCAUUGUACACAUUGUUACAACUAUUAUUAUUUCUUUGUUUAUUUCUGCAUGCUAUUUAAUUACAGAAUGUUUACUGGUCCCACUAUAAAAAAGCUUUGUAUAUUGAUAGCUUGCUAACAUUUUGAUAACACUGUUUUCAUUGUGCUCAUCAGUCCCGCUGCUCAAUCAUUUUAAAUAAUUUCACUUAUGUUCUUAUAUGGAUUUGCCACAAUCACAAAUUUAAAAAAUGAGUGUGAUAUAAAGGUCCUUUAAUUGCAGGCAUAAAGCCAUUGCCCAGUGUAAUUAUGGGUUAUACUUUCAGCAUCACCAUUCUAUAAAAGUGUUUCAUUCAAUCAUAGAACCAGAAUUGCCUAUUAAACCCCAAGCAUUCAAUAAGUGACAAUAACACAAUAAAUUCCCUUUUGUCAAGUACUUAUACCAAAGAAGCAACUAAAUGGCUAACUCUUCUACUCUAUCCCUGCUCUACUCACUUUAUACUUAUGACUGUAAGGCUAAGCACAGCUCCAAUACCAUAUUUAAGUUUGCUGUUGACACCAUUGUUGUUGGCCAAAUCAAAGGUGGUGAUGAAUCAGCUUAUAGGAGGAAGAUGGAAUAUCUGGUUGAGUGGUGCCACAACAACAACCUCCGUCUCAAUGUCAGCAAAACCAAAGAGCUGAUUAUCGACUGCAGGAAGAGGAAACCAGAAGUCCAUGAGCCAAUCCUCAUUGGGGGUCAGUGAUGAAGAGGGUCAGUAACUUUAUAUUCCUUGGCGUUAUCAUUUUGAAAGAUCUGUUCCUGGAUCCAGCACGUUACUUUCUGAGAUAUUUGUGUAGAUUUGGCAUGUCAUCUAGGCCCCCACCAUCCAGGCCAUGCUCUCUUCUUGCUGCUGCUAUUAAGAAGCACUCAUCCCAACACCGAACUGAUUCCACAACCUAUGGACUCAUUUUCAAGGACUCUAUCAUUCAUGUACUGAAUAGUAUUUAUUACUUAUUUAUCUAUUAUUAUUACUAUUUACAUUUUGUUUUUGUAUUUGCGUAACCUGUUGUCUUUUGCACGUUGGUUGUUUGUAGUUUUUCUUUGAUUCUAUUGUGCUUCUUUGUAUUUACUGUAAAUGUCCACAAAAUUAAAUAUCACGGUUGUAUAUGGUGACAUAUAUGUACUUUGAUAAUAAAUUUACUUUGAAUUUCUAUUUUUGUUUGAAUGUUAUCUAAAUUAAAAGAAAAGGAGCUGAAUGAAUUAUGGCUUUUCAUGACAAACAGGAGUGUACUGAUAAGUUAGUAAUUGGUGAACUUAAGAAGUAGUUCUGUUUGCAGGCAAAAGAAAAUAUAGAAUUAAUUAUGCUAAAUCAUCAAGGCAGAUAUUGUUGAUAGGUUGAGAUAGCAGGAGAAGGAGCCUAAACAUCAACAUAAAACCACUGGACAGAAAGUACUGUAAUUAUACAUACGAUUACAUCAUGCAUUGACACCAUAAAUCUUAAGAUAACACAGCUAUUUAAAAACAAAACUGACCUUAUGCUAUAUAACCUGACUUGAAGAUCAGGCAUUAAAAUAUUUAAGUCAUCACACAUAAAAUUUUUAGAUCCACUAUUUCCACAGUGAUCUUAACCCAUUUGUAAUAUUGUACAACAUAGCUUCAAAAUGUGUGAAACACCCGACAGCAUCAAGGAAAUUAUCUACAGCAGGGGAAUAGGGGUGGGUUAGAUAAUUUGGAAACAUUCAUUCUUAUCAUUUCUAGUCGUCUGUAUAUAUGAGAGGACAUUAAUAGUGGCCCUUCUGGUUGUUGAAUGAUAUGCUUUUUCUUACAGACAUGGUUACACUGUGUGCUGCAUCUUUUUAUGACUACAUAUUUCUUUUUGUGUUGAGAAAAUAAAGUCCACAAAUUGUAAUAUGUUUGUCAGGUUCAGGCUCAAUUAAGAAGCAAACUGCAUUCUACAAAUGUUCAGAAUUGGACACAUGCAGAGUAUGAACCGGUGUUAAUAAAUUGUUCAUCACAAUCCUGUGUCUCACAAUAUGACAAAGAAUUAUAUAAUUUUUAAGGACAAAGAUAUUAUACCUUUUUAAGUAAAAGAUAUAGUACAAUUCUGAAGUGGAAAUUAUGAAAAACAAGUCACCAUCCACCUCAAGCAAACGUAAAAGAGGCCAUAGCAUUGUUCAAAGAAGAUGUGUGAAGUUCUCCUCUAUAAUUUGCUCAAUAUUUAUGCUUCAAUUUACACCACAAAAUUCUGAUCAUCAUUUCAUUGCUGUUUGCUGGGUGAAAGCUAGCUAGCUGCCCCCUUUGCUGCAUUACAACAGUGACGAUAAUUUGACUGUAAAACACUCUGGGGAUUCUGGGAUCACAUAAGGAAUUGUUAAAAUAAAAGGUCUCUUUCUCUAGGCAUAUGUCAUUAUGGCCAAUUAGUGCUUUUGCUCUGAAAUGGGGAUUGAUGAGAUCAGAAAAUCUCAUCAAUAAUAAUAACUUGGUCAAGUAAUAAAGGAAUAAACUUUAAGUGUUUCAUUGUUACUGAAAAGUGUUCAAAGUUCAAAGUAAAUGUAUUUUGAAAGUACCUACAUGUCACCAUAUACAACCCCGAGAUUUGUUUCCUUACGAGCAUAUACAGUAAAUCCAAGAAACAUAUUAGAAUCAGUGAAAAUAAAUGCAAAUGCUUUGAGAGGCUGGUCAAGGAUUAAAUCUGCAGCAUGCUGCCACUCACACUGGACUCCCUACAAUUAGCCUACCGACACAACUGAUCGAUAGCCAUAGCUCUACAUCUGGAGAAGAGGGAUGUUUAUGUGAGAAUGAUGUUCUUGGACUACAGUUCAACAUUCAACACCAUAAUUCCCUCCAGCUCAACAAGAAGCUCAGAGACCUCGGCCUUCACGCUGUCUUGUGUAGCUGGAUCUUUGAAUUCCUGUCAGAUCGCUGGCAGGUGGUAAGAGUGGACUCCCAACACAGCUGCCCCUCAGGGCUGUGUCCGAAGCCCCCUCCUUUACUCUCUGUAUACUCAUGACUGUCUCCACCCACAGCUCUGUACUGCUAAUUAAAUAUGCUGACGACACUAUGUUGAUUAGCCUAAUCUCAAAUAAUAAUGAGUAAGCCUACAGAGAAGAAGUCACCCUGACACAGUGCUGUCAAGAAAACAACCUCUCCCUCAAUGUCGCAAAAACAAAGGAGUUGGUUAUGGAUUACAGGAGGAAUGGAGACAGGCUAACCCCCAUUGACAUCAAUGGAUCUGGGGUUGAGAGGGUGAACAGCUUUAAGUUCCUCGGCAUACACAUCACCGAGGAUCUCACGUGGUCUGUACAUACUGGCUGUGUGGUGAAAAAGGCACAACAGCACCUCUUACAGUUGAAGAAGUUUGGUAUGGCCCCCUCCCCCCCUCCAAAUUCUAAGGACUUUCUACAGGGGCACAAUUACGAGCAUCCUCAAUGGCUGCAUCACUGCCUGGUAUGGGAACUGUACUUCCCUCAAUCACAGGACUCUGCUGAGAGUGGUGUGGACAGCCCAGUGCAUCUGUAGAUGUGAACUUCCCACUAUUCAGGACAUUUACAAAAACAGGUGUGUAAAAAGGGCCUGAAGGAUCAUUGGGGACCUGAAUCACCCCAACCCCAAACUGUUCCAGCUGCCACCAUCUGGGAAACAGUACCGCAGCAUAAAAGCCGGGACCAACAGGCUCUGGGACAGCUUCUUCCACCAGGCCAUCAGACUGCUUAAUUCAUGCUGACACAACUAUACUUUUAUAAAUUACUAUAAUUGCACAUUGCACAUUUGAACGGAGGCGUAACGUAAAGAUUUUUACUCCUCAUGUAUAUGAAGGAUGUAAGUAAUAAUUCAAUUCAAAAGACUGCACCCAAUAGGACACAAACUGUGCAAAUAUGAACAGAAAAAAAUAAUAAAUAAGCAUUAAAUAUCAAGAAUAUGAGGCAAAGAACCCUUGAAAGUGGGCCCAUAGGCUGCAAUUCAACCAGUCAAUAUAUUCUCCACGAUAACCUAUAGAAGCUUGACAAAGUUUUAGAUGUCAUGCUGAAUCUUCACAAGCUUCUAAGGAAGUAUAGGUGCUGCUGUGCUUUCUUCAUAACCGCACUUAUGCACAGUCCCAGGCCAGAUCCUUUAAAAUGAUAACACCAAGGAAUUUAAAGUUGCUAACCCUCUCCACCUUUGACCCUCCAAUGAGGACUGGCUCACAGACCUCUGGUUUCCUCCUCCUGAGUUCAAUAAUCAGCUCCUUGGUCUUGCUGACACUGAGCGAGAAGUUACAUACACUAAUUUUCAUAUACAUUAAUAAACAUUUUUAAAAUAAAACUGAUGGUAACAGUAUUAAUAUAUUGUUAAUGCACCUACAUUUCCCUUAAUUGAAUGUUUUGACAGACUUUCCAAAGGAAAUCAAGAGACAUAAAGCUAUUGCAGGAAAAAUGUUUCAAUAAAAAAAUCGGCAUGAUUUUAUUGAAUGACAGAACAGGCAUGAGGGGCUGAAUGGCCUGCUCUAUUUCUUAUGGUUUAAUUCAGCUGUUGUAAAGAUUAUUUAUUAUCCAAUGAAGACAAAAUGAAGACAAAAUUAUAAACUUCAUCCUUCACCUUUUGAUUAUGUGUCCAUUAGUACGUGUGAACAGCUGUUCAGUUUUUAAUGGAAACUUGACUGAUUCAUAACUGUUGUUGAUUUUUAUACAAUGGGUGUUGAUAUACUUUGCUGUGGUUUUAACAUAUCUUUAGCUUUACAGACUUCAUUCACCAACUUGGUACUUUCUUUUGUUAGUGUAAUGCUCAUUCUUGCAAAACAGGGGGAUUGGGCUAGUCAGUUCUUAUAAAUGAAAACUGAUAGCUAAUUUAUACUUUAAAUAAUUAACACAUAAAGAAAGACUGUCACAUGGGAUGGCCAGGGACACAGUUCAGAAGUAAUGAUGUUAGGGUUAAAUUAAACAUUUAAAAUGUUGAUAGUCAAUUCUCCUUGUAGAAAUUUAGGGCUAAUUGAAUCAUGGAAUAUCACAUCCUAAUGGAUAUUUUUCUCCUUUAGUCAUUAAACAUUUGCAAUUGGUUAAAAAUACAAAAAUAAACGCUACCAUUGUCUUACUACCAAAAGUCUUCCUCUGCUAUUAAUAGAUAGGAAAGGUAAAGAGGGUAAUACGCCCAAUAUGGGCAAAUGGAAUUAGUGUAGAUAUGCAUCAUGGUUGGCAUGGACACAGUGUGCCCAUUUCAGUGCUGUUCAUUUCUAUGACUCUAUAAUCAUUAUCAGUAUAUGACUGAAGAUUUGCUUUCUUUAAUAUUUCUGCUGAAAUUAUUGGUGUGAUUUAGAACUUUGAUUGUGCUUGACACAGGAAACAAUAAUUAAUAUUAGUAGUUGUUUUCUGUUGUUGAUUUAAAACUGUUCAAAUAGAUAAAAAAUUGUACAAACCCCAUUUCCAGAAAAGUUGGAAUAUUUUCCAAAAUGCAAUAAAAACAAAAAUCUGUGAUAUGUUAAUUCAUGUGAACCUUUAUUUAACUGACAAAAGUACAA
Molecule: long non-coding RNA, 6235 nt
Organism: Hypanus sabinus (Atlantic stingray)
Lineage: Eukaryota; Metazoa; Chordata; Chondrichthyes; Myliobatiformes; Dasyatidae
Exons: 3
Source: RefSeq, a predicted model, not a curated record